This 497-nucleotide ribosomal RNA is filed under the name uncultured bacterium. RNAcentral describes it as "partial 16S ribosomal RNA". It matches the Rfam family "Bacterial small subunit ribosomal RNA", at positions 28 to 507 of the family's 1533-position model. The record is from RNAcentral.
GAUGAACGCUGGCGGCGUGCCUAAUACAUGCAAGUCGAGCGAACGGAUGAGAAGCUUGCUUCUCUGAUGUUAGCGGCGGACGGGUGAGUAACACGUGGAUAACCUACCUAUAAGACUGGGAUAACUUCGGGAAACCGGAGCUAAUACCGGAUAAUAUUUUGAACCGCAUGGUUCUAAAGUGAAAGACGGUCUUGCUGUCACUUAUAGAUGGAUCCGCGCUGGAUUAGCUAGUUGGUAAGGUAACGGCUUACCAAGGCAACGAUGCAUAGCCGACCUGAGAGGGUGAUCGGCCACACUGGAACUGAGACACGGUCCAGACUCCUACGGGAGGCAGCAGUAGGGAAUCUUCCGCAAUGGGCGAAAGCCUGACGGAGCAACGCCGCGUGAGUGAUGAAGGUCUUCGGAUCGUAAAACUCUGUUAUUAGGGAAGAACAUAUGUGUAAGUAACUGUGCACGUCUUGACGGUACCUAAUCAGAAAGCCACGGCUAACUACGUG